Molecule: long non-coding RNA, 422 nt
Organism: Daphnia pulex (common water flea)
Lineage: Eukaryota; Metazoa; Arthropoda; Branchiopoda; Diplostraca; Daphniidae
Exons: 4
Source: RefSeq, a predicted model, not a curated record
CUCAUUCCAUCUUAUAGAGAAUCUUGGAUAACUGAUUGGUGAUUUCAUGUGUUUCUAAAUUGGCAUGACUGACUUUAAGUUAUGUCCUUCCAAAAAAAGGACUUACAACAAGAUUCCUUGUUUGCUAACCCGUUGGCUGCUACCCUUGAAUCUCCCUAUUUGUCAACAACAAAAAAAGAGGUUACAUAUUGUGAUCAUGCCGAUCAUCAUUAUGUUGCCUAUAAGACCAAAUGUGGGGCAUCUGGUUAUCCCUCCAUAAUAAGGUAAUGACCACACGUUCAACGCGGAUCAUUCGCUUUGUCAUCGAACUUGACUCAUUCCAUCUUCUGGAUUUCUUAGGAAAGCUGAUUGGUGUUACCUGUCCAUUUAGGUAAUGACCGAGAAGAAUAACCUACAUGAACAUCAUUUAGGCGGCCAGCAUC